UCCGUCACCAUUUGCUAUUCUUCUCUCCGGAGGGGGAAGCACUAUGGUGGUACCGCCACUGUUAAAGUGGAGGAAGGAGGGGGCAACGGUAGGUCAGUAUGCCCCGAAUCUCCCGGGCUACACGCGCGCUACAAAGGGCAGGACAAUGGGCUUCGACACCGAAAGGUGAAGGCAAUCCCGAAACCUGCUCGUAAUUCGGAUUGAGGGCUGCAAUUCGCCCUCAUGAAGCUGGAAUACGUAGUAAUCGCGGGUCAACAUCCCGCGGUGAAUAUGCCCCUGCUCCUUGCACACACCGCCCGUCAAACCACCUUAGUUGGGUUUGGACGAGGGUUUGUCUUCUGACACGCUCGAAUCUGAAUUCAGCGAGGAGGGUUAAGUCGUAACAAGGUA
RNAcentral lists this ribosomal RNA (390 nucleotides) under uncultured archaeon. RNAcentral describes it as "bacterial SSU rRNA". It matches the Rfam family "Archaeal small subunit ribosomal RNA", at positions 1053 to 1445 of the family's 1478-position model. The record is from RNAcentral.